AAGUGUACGUCACUCCCAGGCCCAAGAACUUGGGAAGGGGCCGGGCGGCCGAAAGAGUUGGGAGGCGGAGUUGGCCAUUGAGCAUGCACACGGACCCCGCCGCCGCGCUAAGUGCGGCGGCAAAGAGCAGUGGCGCACCUCCCCUUCCAGAAGAAAGUAGGAGAGCCGGUUUGAGGCAAAAUACUGAGGAAGCGCUUUUGUCCUACUUCCGCUUUUUUCUUUAUCUCAAAGGAAGUUCCGGUUGUGGCACCUCUUACGCCACACCUUGUGUUGGGAAAUGGGAGUGCAAAGUAACCUUCAGAGUCCGGAGGCGUCUCUCAUCUGCUCUCCUUGGGGUAGGUUGGUGGGUAGAGAAGGCCGCCGUUGGAACGCGGCCUUCGACAGUCUUAGGUAGGACUCUGUCAAAGUCAAAGCGCCCUCUGCGGCGGAGGGGAGGACUCCAUCUUCAAGCCCACCGCCUUGUUUUUUUCGUUCCGCCUCGUCGCACCGUUUUCUAAACCACUCCUGUCCUUAGGUCAGACUGAGGAGCCUACGGCACUUAAGCCUUUCAAUCCCCAACCCAUUCUAAGCACAUGUCUUGAGCUGGAUGCAAGAGACACUGAGGUAGAGGACAUGCUCCUAGGUACGUUCAGACCAGCCGGAUCUUGAGUUCUCCAUUGAAUCAGCUUUACUCUCCUGCUGGUCUCCUCACUGAGGCAGGAGGGGUGUGGUUUCAAGACUGGAGCUCAAACCGGGAUAAAGUCAUUUUUGCCUCAGGACCCACAUCGCAGAAAAGGUACAUUAGAAGGGGUGAGCAAUCAGAGACAUUCAAUGAAUGAGGGUAUGUCUGGAAGAAGUAUUAGAUCAUCAUUCCAAAUUUCACAUGAACUUUAAUAAAUCAACCAUCAUAUAUCUGACCUUGCAAUUAAAAUGUUUGGAUU
Molecule: long non-coding RNA, 920 nt
Organism: Physeter macrocephalus (sperm whale)
Lineage: Eukaryota; Metazoa; Chordata; Mammalia; Artiodactyla; Physeteridae
Exons: 3
Source: RefSeq, a predicted model, not a curated record